RNAcentral lists this ribosomal RNA (292 nucleotides) under uncultured Verrucomicrobiota bacterium. RNAcentral's name for it is "uncultured Verrucomicrobia bacterium partial 16S ribosomal RNA". The record is from RNAcentral. Lineage: Bacteria; Pseudomonadati; Verrucomicrobiota.
GGACUACCCGGGUAUCUAAUCCCGUUUGCUCCCCUGGCUUUCGUGUUUCAGAGUCAGGAAUUUUCCAGGAGGCCGCCUACGCCACCGGUGUUCCUCAUGAUAUCUACGCAUUUCACUGCUACACCAUGAAUUCCGCCUCCCCCUCCAAUCCUCGAGCCAAGCAGUUUCGAAUGCCAUUUCGCCGUUAAGCGGCGAGCUUUCACAUCCGACUUGCCUGACCUCCUACACACCCUUUACGCCCAAUGAAUCCGAACAACGCUCGGGACCUCUGUAUUACCGCGGCUGCUGGCAC